Molecule: transfer RNA, 84 nt
Filed under: Sphingopyxis witflariensis
Lineage: Bacteria; Pseudomonadati; Pseudomonadota; Alphaproteobacteria; Sphingomonadales; Sphingopyxidaceae
Rfam family: tRNA
About the family: Transfer RNA (tRNA) molecules are approximately 80 nucleotides in length. Their secondary structure includes four short double-helical elements and three loops (D, anti-codon, and T loops). Further hydrogen bonds mediate the characteristic L-shaped molecular structure. tRNAs have two regions of fundamental functional importance: the anti-codon, which is responsible for specific mRNA codon recognition, and the 3' end, to which the tRNAs corresponding amino acid is attached (by aminoacyl-tRNA synthetases). tRNAs cope with the degeneracy of the genetic code in two manners: having more than one tRNA (with a specific anti-codon) for a particular amino acid; and 'wobble' base-pairing, i.e. permitting non-standard base-pairing at the 3rd anti-codon position.
Source: Rfam by way of RNAcentral
GCGGACGUGGCGGAACCGGUAGACGCAGCAGACUUAAAAUCUGCUAUCCUUUUGGGUGUAUGGGUUCGAGUCCCAUCGUCCGCA